GUCUUACCUCCUCGAACUGAGAUCAAGUGGCUCAAGAGGACCAGGGUGGUCCAAGAGACCCCGAGAAGCACGCCUCGAUCGCAGGAGGGCAUCAUCUCUCCGGCUGAGCUCGUCUUCUCACUGCGGUGAUGUUGGCAGAGACAAUGAACGCGCCGCAUGACUUUCGAUGGAAGUGGGUUGCGGUAAAGGCCUGAGGGAGCUAAAGGGGGGCAGCGCAUGACAAAAAUACAAGCGCGAGACCCCAAACCUGAGCCGCCCGCUUGCUAUGAAUAACCUGACAGCAGAGCUGGAGUGGCCUUAAUGGAGACUUCUGCGACAAGACUGGACUACGGAGUGCGUAUGGAAGUCACAAUAUCAAUGGGGCCAUCUUCGAUCUACCACCUCAGCAGAUUUGCACAGAAAUCAUGAAUACAUAUUCAAUCCGUUAUAAGGUUCCGUUCCAUUGAGGCUGUGCAGAGGCAGCUUCCUGCAGCGUAACAUUGCUGUGAAAUGUGUUGCUCUAUUGUUAUUUCCCCAUUUAGUUGGAGUGUAUUUGUAUUUAGUUCACCAGCCUUAAAAAAAAAAAAAAAAAUAAUCACUUCUGACUUCUGAGGUUCAUUUCAAUGCGUGUCAAAUGUACUGUACAUGCAUAUUCAAGUACAUACAGUGACAAAGUAUAGCACUUCAGAAAGUAAGAAAUGUUAGGAAAUGCCCACUGGAACAGCUGAACUUUAUUUGGGUUUAAUUAAAUAGAUUUAACAUUA
Molecule: long non-coding RNA, 743 nt
Organism: Phyllopteryx taeniolatus (common seadragon)
Lineage: Eukaryota; Metazoa; Chordata; Actinopteri; Syngnathiformes; Syngnathidae
Exons: 2
Source: RefSeq, a predicted model, not a curated record